GACGAACGCUGGCGGCGUGCUUAACACAUGCAAGUCGAACGGAAAGGCCCUGCUUUUGUGGGGUGCUCGAGUGGCGAACGGGUGAGUAACACGUGAGUAACCUGCCCUUGACUUUGGGAUAACUUCAGGAAACUGGGGCUAAUACCGGAUAGGAGCUCCUGCUGCAUGGUGGGGGUUGGAAAGUUUCGGCGGUUGGGGAUGGACUCGCGGCUUAUCAGCUUGUUGGUGGGGUAGUGGCUUACCAAGGCUUUGACGGGUAGCCGGCCUGAGAGGGUGACCGGCCACAUUGGGACUGAGAUACGGCCCAGACUCCUACGGGAGGCAGCAGUGGAGAAUAUUGCACAAUGGGCGGAGGCCUGAUGCAGCAACGCCGCGUGCGGGAUGACGGCCUUCGGGUUGUAACCCGCUUUCGCCUGUGACGAAGCGUGAGUGACGGUAAUGGGUAAAGAAGCACCGGCUAACUACGUG
Molecule: ribosomal RNA, 468 nt
Filed under: uncultured bacterium
Lineage: Bacteria
Description: partial 16S ribosomal RNA
Rfam family: Bacterial small subunit ribosomal RNA
Source: RNAcentral